Molecule: ribosomal RNA, 440 nt
Filed under: uncultured bacterium
Lineage: Bacteria
Description: partial 16S ribosomal RNA
Rfam family: Bacterial small subunit ribosomal RNA
Source: RNAcentral
CCUACGGGGGACAGCAGUAGGGAAUAUUGCUCAAUGGGGGAAACCCUGAAGCAGCAACGCCGCGUGGAGGAUGAAGGUUUUCGGAUUGUAAACUCCUUUUGUUAGAGAAGAUAAUGACGGUAUCUAACGAAUAAGCACCGGCUAAAUCCGUGCCAGCAGCCGCGGUAAUACGGAGGGUGCAAGCGUUACUCGGAAUCACUGGGCGUAAAGAGCGCGUAGGCGGAAUAGCAAGUCAGAUGUGAAAUCCUAUGGCUUAACCAUAGAACUGCAUUUGAAACUGUUAUUCUAGAGUAUGGGAGAGGUAGGUGGAAUGCUUGGUGUAGGGGUAAAAUGCGUAGAGAUCAAGAGGAAUACUCAUUGCGAAGGCGACCUGCUAGAACAUAACUGACGCUGAUGCGCGAAAGCGUGGGGAGCAAACAGGAUUAGAUACCCUUGUAGUC